GAUCAUGGCUCAGAUUGAACGCUGGCGGCAGGCCUAACACAUGCAAGUCGAGCGCGAAAGGCUUUCGGGCUGAGUAGAGCGGCGGACGGGUGAGUAACGCGUAGGAAUCUACCUGGUAGUGGGGGACAACUUGGGGAAACUCGAACUAAUACCGCAUACGCCCUACGGGGGAAAGCGGGGGACCUUCGGGCCUCGCGCUAUCAGAUGAGCCUGCGUAGGAUUAGCUUGUUGGUGAGGUAAAGGCUCACCAAGGCGACGAUCCUUAGCUGGUCUGAGAGGAUGAUCAGCCACACUGGAACUGAGACACGGUCCAGACUCCUACGGGAGGCAGCAGUGGGGAAUAUUGCGCAAUGGGCGAAAGCCUGACGCAGCCAUGCCGCGUGUGUGAAGAAGGCCCUUGGGUUGUAAAGCACUUUCAAUUGGGAAGAAAGGUUGCGUGUUAAUAGCACGUAGCUGUGACGUUACCUUUAGAAGAAGCACCGGCUAACUCCGUG
RNAcentral lists this ribosomal RNA (494 nucleotides) under uncultured bacterium. RNAcentral's name for it is "bacterial SSU rRNA". It matches the Rfam family "Bacterial small subunit ribosomal RNA", at positions 15 to 507 of the family's 1533-position model. The record is from RNAcentral.